Molecule: ribosomal RNA, 540 nt
Filed under: Scheffersomyces shehatae
Lineage: Eukaryota; Fungi; Ascomycota; Pichiomycetes; Serinales; Debaryomycetaceae
Description: eukaryotic LSU rRNA
Rfam family: Eukaryotic large subunit ribosomal RNA
Source: RNAcentral
GCGAGUGAAGCGACAAAAGCUCAAAUUUGAAAUCUGGCACCUUCGGUGUCCGAGUUGUAAUUUGAAGAAGGUAACUUUGGAGUUGGCUCUUGUCUAUGUUCCUUGGAACAGGACGUCACAGAGGGUGAGAAUCCCGUGCGAUGAGAUGUCCAACUCUAUGUAAAGUGCUUUCGAAGAGUCGAGUUGUUUGGGAAUGCAGCUCUAAGUGGGUGGUAAAUUCCAUCUAAAGCUAAAUAUUGGCGAGAGACCGAUAGCGAACAAGUACAGUGAUGGAAAGAUGAAAAGAACUUUGAAAAGAGAGUGAAAAAGUACGUGAAAUUGUUGAAAGGGAAGGGUUUGAGAUCAGACUUGGUAUUUUGUAUGUCUUGCUUUCGGGUGGGGCCUCUGCAGUUUACUGGGCCAGCAUCGGUUUGGACGGUAGGAUAAUGACAUUGGAAUGUGGCACUACUUCGGUGGUGUGUUAUAGACUUUGUUGAUACUGCCUGUCUAGACCGAGGACUGCGUCUUUGACUAGGAUGCUGGCAUAAUGAUCCUAAACCG